AUAAAAUAACAUGAUGCAUAUACAAAGCAUGAGCAGGAUAUCAACAUUAGCACGGGAUGCAACAUAAAUAUCCACCAUAUCAACUAUGAAUAAUCUCCAACUGAACAUGGCAUAAUGAUGAGCAUAAAUAUUACAGGUGCAACAGUACUCAUAGUAUAACAUGACUAUUAUCACCAACCAUAAAUAACAUGCAAGAACUCAUCAAUAACAUUUCCGAGUAAACACUUAACCAACUAGUAGUAAAGGAACAAUGCAUAUUAACAGUACUCGGUAACCGACGUUAGUCAUGCACCGAAGAACAUGACCAACCCAAUAUGUACUACUAUCAAGCAUGGCAAUAUGAAAGUAAUACUAGCAACUAGCAGGGCAUGAUAACCAGGUGCAUAACAACAUAGCAAGCAAGUAAGCACUAACCCAGAAAUAUUACCGAAACAACGAUAACCAUAUUUUAAACAAGCAAUCAUUUAAUAAAUAUUCAAGUUGAAUACCAUGGCUAUUGCAUGGCUAUCAUGCAAAUGUGUAUUGUGGCUUGCCUGGGGUGAAGAAAGCACUGGGAAGAAAUGCGGUGAAGCUACGGAAAGAUUGCCGGAAAUAGUUCUCUCUCGGAGGGGCUGUUUACGUGCAAGGGCAAAAAGGUCAUUUUCACAGUGUCAAACCACAGUGAAAAUGAAACCAACAGAACAGGCUCGACGAAAUGAAGACAUGGGCUUUGGAAUCACCUCAUUUGGAGUUGGGAGUAAAAAGAUAUAAGGGUUUUACUGACAGGGACCUAUCUGUAAUAAAAUCAUCACAAACAGGCCCUCGGCGGGAAAAAUAGAACGCGUACUCGAUGAAAUACACUUUCGGUGAAGUGAAAGCAUACUCUGCCCACAACCGCAGUUGUUUUUGCUUUCGGUUAGCGAAAACAUAUUUUGUGGAAUACGUUUCCACUAAUCCACAUCAGCGAGGGCGGGUCAACAUGCUGUGCGGCUGACGAGGGGGUCCGCGAGCGAUGGGGCCCGCCUGGCCUGGGCUCGUCUUCAACCUCGCUCGCUCCCGCGCGGGUCAGAGGACUGGCCGGCCACGAUGGGGAUUGCCGGCGACUCCGGGCGUCUCCCGCAGUGCUCCGCCUACGGGCGAGCUCAGCGCAGAGAGGCGCAUCUGGUGGUGCCAUCCGCGGCCGGUGAGGAGGACCGAGGCAGCAGUGGCUAUGAGGCCGGCGGACGGUGGCGUCGGGAGGAGAUGGGCAUGGCGCCCCGGUGCGCCAGAGGAGGGGUUGAGGAGCUGGGGUGACUCCGGGGUGAUGGUGGAAGCGGUUGGUGGAGGAAUGAGGAGGGGAGGGGCUCGGCAUGUCACGAAUUUGCGAGGAGGAAGCCGGCGGCCGAGGCGGCCAUUGACGAUGAGGAGAGCCACUCGAGCUCGGGGAAAUAGUCAGGGGAGGCUAGAGGAGGUGUAGGAGGCCAGUGGUGAAGCAAUACGGGGUUGGGGUGGCCUUAUAUAGGCGGGAGAGGGGUGUGCCGCGCUGGCGUCGCUGGAGACGCGUGUCCGGCGCCACAAACGCAUGCCCUCGCUCGCGAGCUCGGAGGUAGACGACGUAGGAGGAGCAGUGGAGGCUCUCACGGGGCAAAGGAGGCCAAGGGGGCGCAGGGAGGAAGAAGACGGCGAAGAACCGAGCCAAAACGCCACUGUGCGCCCGUGGGCACGCGACGGCUUGCGUCGGUGAGGAAGCUGCCGGAGAGAGAGUGGGGUCUAGGUGAUCGGCGACGACGAGAGGAAUACAAUGGACAUGCUCACAAGCGCUAGGACGACGAGAGGAGGAGGGGCCCGAGCACAAACGAUGUUCUGGCCGCGCACACUGCAUGCCAAAGCGGUGGUCACCGCGCGCACUAGUGCACACAGUACCACAAGCGAUGCCAAAUGAUGUCUGGUGUGGAGUCCUUCCUGAGGAGGUUGCAACUACGGUGGUAGUUUGGUUAAAAGUGACAUGGUUAAAUGGCAGUUAACACCUAAAGUUUACUGCAGUAAACUUGAUCGUGUACUGCUGCUCAACAGGGAGGUGAUUGGUGACAAUGGAGUUGUUUGGGAGGGUGAGGUAAAGAAGAACUUUCAUCCUGGUAAUUUUGAGAAGAUUAUGAUCAAGAUUUAAUGUAGUUGCUUAACAACCACAUAAACUGGUCCAGAAACUAGAUUAGGAUGAUGCACUCGCAUGGAGUUUCAAAUUGAGCUGAAAUUGGGCAAGGCGGAGUCAUUUGUUCCUGUGAAGAUGCUCAAAAAGUUUCAUACCAAUUGGCUAAGCCAAACUGGUACUUGCUUCACAAACAUCUCCUCUGGACAAAAACUUGCAAAAAUUCUAGAAGAAUAAUGGCUUGAUGAAACAUGCCCAAAAUGGGUGGAGGUAGGUUAUAUGGAUAAUAUAAGGCCUAGAAAAAUUGGCAGCCAUAAUGGAGCAAGAUAAAAUAUACUUGCUUCACAAACUGAAAUUUUGGACAGAAUCAAAGAAUUGAAGGUGAGCUCACAUGGAGGCAUGACAUGAUCUCUACUUUAGUGGAGGGCUAUGAUAUGAUGAUAUGAGGGACCAUGCAAAAUGGAAACUCAUUUGGAUAUUCCUAGCUUGUACUUCCUUCACAACUAGUUCCCUCAGACAGGAACUUUGAAAAAUUGCUUAGGAAUAUUUACUAUGCAAAUUAAGUUUAAUUUUGGUAUGAGGCUAUUAUAUGGACAUGAAAAGGUUUCCAACAAGUUUUAGGUCAAUUGGGAAAAGAUAAAUGGCACUUGAUUCACAUUCUGCCAUUUAGGACAUAAUAGGAAAUGAAUUAAUUGAGCAUGAUGGGGAACAUGGAAAAUUAAAUAUUUUGCCAUAUUUGAGAAAGAUAUGACCCAAACAAUUUAUGAUAAUUAUUUGGGAAUUUUAGGAGUGAUGGAAAUAUAGGUUGCUUCACAAUCUAGGGCAAUUUGAGUUAUUCCUUUAAUAGAAAGGGAAUAUUCCCAAUAAAAAAGAAUAUUGAGAUUUGGGCUAGGAUGAAAAUGACAGGGUCUAGGGAAGGAGUUGGGUAUGACAAGCCACUCUAGAAGCAAAGAAGAGGGCAUCUUCUUCAGUUUCCAGACCUCAAAGCGACGGAAAAAGAAAACUCAAGCAAAAACCUCAGAAAAACAAAGGAAAAAGAAAGGGACAAAAACCAGGCUGUCACAAACCUUACCCCCUUAAAGAAAUCUCGUCCUCGAGAUUUGGUUGCUCAGGGAACAAGUAUGAAGAUACUGACUUAAGGAAACUGUUUCCAACUCGGGUAUCCUUUUUUAUUUUUGUUGCCACUAAAUUUUUCUCUGACUGGCCCUGGGGUGGUUUGCUUUAAUAUAUCCAUAUUCUGACAGAUAUUACCUUGCUGUUCAUGCUUAUCCAGGCUCCAAUUUCUUUUUAGAUCUGCUGACUUAGCUGACUGUGAUUGAUCCUCACGACUGAAAUCUCUGACAAUCUUUCAUGAAGUGGUGAUCAGAUUUUUCUAGUGGACACCCAAGCUCUAACUCCUUGCAUUGGGUUUUAUCCACUAAAUGCAGGUCCUUCGGGUUCCAAAUAGUGAAUUGGGUCAUAACCGCUUUCUGACAGAUUCUGGCUUAUCGCGGAAAUUUCUGAAUCAUCUUAACUGGUUCCACUAUCUUGAGUAUCGAAUCCAUACCAAAUAUUUCAUUAUCGCCCGCAUCACUGGUCUUGCUCCGUCAUUAUUGUUUUCUUGGCCUGGAUCCUUGGCUGAAAGAGCUGGGUCAUAUUGCUUCUUUGUAUCACCAUAGGUACCGUCGGUGCAAUUUUUCUGGCAAUCGCAGCUUAUCCUCAUUUUUCUGACAGGGUACCCCAUUAAAUUGCAGGUUCAACACCCCUCAAGUUCUGACCGCAGGAAAAUGAUCAUCCGAACCUUUGCAAGAAAUCGGAAAAUAAAUCAGUAUCCACCAGAACGGUCUUUACAACUCAGAUCUAGGACAUUACUGAAAUAACUCAACCACGGCUCAAGACGGCCGAAAAGCAGCUCAGAACAUAAGACCGGGUUGAUAAGAAGAAUGUGGCAGCUCCCUAAAAUAGCCAAAAAGCAGCUAUAGGGCUACUGUUACAAAAAGAAACUCAACAGCUGUACGAGACAGCCGAAAAGCAGCUCAGAACUCGUGACCGUCGUUGAAGAGAGAAAUAAAAAUCGUCAUCCACCCCGGAUAGCUAAAAACAGCUUAGAUCACAGGCGUGGUGCCGUCAUUGGAGAAAAAGGGGACAAGGGCUCAUCAGGAUCAUUUUCUAGGUUCACAGGUACUUGCAUUGAGCUCAUUGAUGUCGUCAAUCCUCAUAAUCCUUUGUCACACUACGGUGUAUAAUGGCUUUCUUCUCUUAACCAUCCUCACGUGGUUGUCAGAUCCUCAUCCGAGUGACUUGUAAGAUCUUGGUGGUAUGCCCACCGCAUAUAUAUGAGAAUCUGGUUCCCGAGACAGACAUGUAUUCUGACUGAUGCUUGCUUCUGACCAAAAUGUUGCGUAUCUGAUUCUUGGGAUUCACUGCCAUAUGCUAGCGUACUACCUUGUACCAAUGUCUUACUGAGGAAGAUUGGCUGGCUUGUGCUCGAAACUUUCAUCGGACAACUUGCUGAAGAAGACUGGGUAUCGUGCUUCAGAAGCUUAUCCCCUUAAAGACUUUGCUGGGGAAAGACGCAAUACCUUAUGCCGGAAGCUUUUCAGGUUGCCUACUGAAGAAGGCAGAGUACCUUGUACGGGGAAUCAUCCAUGUAUCAUACUGAGGAAGAUAGAUGAAUCUUGCCUUGGAAGCUUCUCGGGUAUCUUGCGAGGGAAGAUUGGGUUGCUUACACCAGAAGCUUCUUAUUGUGAUAUGUGGACCGGUUUCCACAUAUAUAAUCAUCUUAAAAUUUUUGUUAUUGAUUUCUUGUAUGAAACAGGGUUUUGCAGGACUAUCCUCCUUUCUGAGUACAUGCCAUAUUUUUUUCUUGCUUCCAGGUACAUCGGGUUCCAAAAUCAUCCUCAAUGAAAAAUUAAACUUGUUUCUGAGCCAUACCUUUGAUCAUAUUCUGUCAACCUUGCACACAAUUUUAUCUUCUUGGUGAUUUGAUCAUUUAUGCUAUGAGGAGUGCACGUUAAUGCAAACUUUAUACUGACAUUCCAUCCAGGAUUUCUUUUGUAUUCAGACGAGCUAUUUCCAAUUUCACUGCAGCCUGCUGACAAUUCCAUUCUGUUUAGCUGAGUUUCCAAAUAUAUGCAUUUCUUGCUGACUCUUUGGGUCUGGUGUCGGCUGACGAGCAACUUUAAUAGGGGAAAAUUUGUAACACCGAAGGCCCAAAGAAAUAAACAAAAGAAAUGACUAAAAAAACACACAAGCAUACUACUAAUAUAAUUAAUCAAGCAAUCAUCACACAUUACUGCUACUCACACCAUAAUAUGCAUGCACACCUAAGCACACAAGUCGUGCGGAAACUCCAGUAUUACGGUCUAAUAUGCUGUGGCGGUGUGCACGAAAAUUAUAUCCAUGUGUGGAAGGAGUUGGCAUAACCAAAGCUACACCAAGCACUGGCUGAACAGUGGCUGGAUCUGGAUGGAUACACAUGUGAGGACGGACUUGACGAUCAACUAACGAGACACAAAUGUCACGACCACCUCAUCAUCAAGCGUAUGAAGGGAAUCGUACCUGUCCAAAGAAUGAAAUGACAUGGCAAGAUAACAGUGGAAGAUUGGGUUUAUUGGCAUUGCCCUUUUCUGAUAACAAAGAUCAGCAAGGGUUGCCAAGGGGGCGAGAUGGAGGGCAUGGAUGAUGAUAUGGUCGCAUCACACCGAGGAGCAGGCAUGCUAAGAAAGAUGGUGCAGGCGGUGGACCGAAAAUGAUGCCACCUAUACUCACAAGAUGAACCGUUAGCGACAAAAUAAUAAUCUAUAUGCAUGCUAUGCAACAAACAAAUGCAACAAUCAAGUGCAACAAACCAACUGGGGUCUAUACUACCACUUUUUAACGUUCGCGCGGGCUAGGGCAUCCUACAGCCAGACCUGCUCUGAUACCAAGCCUGUGGCACCCCAGCUUAGAGAAAACCGGAACACCCCAUAUUCUAGCCCAGAGAUCGAGGAGAAGUCUUCUGGAAUACGGAAAUGCUUAGCAUAGAACAAACCAGCUUGCUAUUAUUACACAAAUAUGAUUACAAGGUCUCCGAUAUUACAAUGAAUAACAUCAGCACGGUGACACUACGCCAUCCUCAAUUGCUCUAUGCAAGUAGUAGAACAACUCGAAGCAGCGGAAUAACUCUUGCAGCGGAACAACGACGACGGUGGUGAACUCCACUCCGCAUGGACUCUGGCUAGAACGCUUAUCCUAGCUCGCGAACACAGGAACAACACCAAAUAAGCAAGCAAUCCAGGCACGACCUGCAAACUGGCAUGACACACCAGGUCAGUACAUUGAAUGUACUUGCAAGCUCACAAUAACCAGAAGCAUUCAAGACAAACAACAACAUGGCAAUUACAGGUUAAGCAGGAAUUAUCAUGAAGUCCUCAGGAGAACAUGGCAUCAACAAUAUGAUACAGCUAGAACAAUAUGAGCAUGGCAUGAACAUAUGAAUCUGACAUGCAACAUGAUGACACUACAUGCACCAUUUAUUCUGUUCGGGUUGCCUCGUAACCAUCACAUGCAUCACUUACCAACGUCGAACAUUACACGAUCAUCUCAGGAUCAAAUCAAGCUUGGUACAAACAAUACCAUAGUAAUCAUUAAAUGACCACAAGGAGCUUGAUCUUUACCCACGAUUCUCGCACAACAUCACGAAUAUCCAACAACUCAGUAUCCUCGAUACCACGGUGAUCUUUCCAGCGAUCACAACCAUGACCAACAGUUGGUCUCAAACGGUGAUCUUUCCGGCAAUCACCACCAUCUUAUCUCAUCAUCGAACAGUGGUUGUUAUUAAGCACAUUAUUAUUAUUAUUAUUAUUAUUAUUAUUAUUAUUAUUAUUAUUAUUAUUAUUAUUAUUAUUAUUAUUGUCACCGUUGACUCACGGUGUGACCGACACGAACUGGGCCCUUAUCCACGGGCACGGCUAUCGGUAGAUUUAAUAUACACUCUGCAGAGGUAGCACACUGUACCCACACCACGGAACCCAUGGCCUCGCACUCCCAUAUGUGUGGACACGACGUUCCGACAAAACUGAUCUACUGCCAUGACACUCUCCCGGCCACUCCGACUCACUCCCCACUAGGCUAGUCCUGGGUGGCCCCGUACCAAAGACACACCGACCACCGUCGUGGCCAACACGUCCCUCACGGGGUCCGGAUCCAUAAUAACAACAACGAACACACAAAGUUAUGUCCGCCUACCUGAUUAGGGUAGAGCGCGCCCAUAACUUUCCCUCGUUGUAGGCACCGACGAGAGGCACGACAAUAGACCCAAUUAGGACCUUCCCAUAAAAGGUAAGCGUGGUUGCACUGGUCAGUUUCGAUAUGGUGGCACCAUGACUCAGCCAACAGUUGUUCAAGUUCAAUUAAAUCCGGUUAAACUUGAAUGCAAUAUGCUGAGCUAUGAUAAAAUAACAUGAUGCAUAUACAAAGCAUGAGCAGGAUAUCAACAUAAGCACGGGAUACAACAUAAAUAUCCACCAUAUCAACUAUGAAUAAUCUCCAACUGAACAUGGCAUAAUGAUGAGCAUAAAUAUUACAGGUGCAACCGUACUCAUAGUAUAACAUGACUAUUAUCACCAACCAUAAAUAACAUGCAAGAACUCAUCAAUAACAUUACUGAGUAAACACUUAACCAACUAGUAGUAAAGGAACAAUGCAUAUUAACAGUACUCAGUAACCGACGUCAGUCAUGCACCGAAGAACAUGACCAACCCAACAUGUACUACUAUCAAGCAUGGAAAUAUGAAAGUAAUACUAGCAACUAGCAGGGCAUGAUAACCAGGUGCAUAACGACAUAGCAAGCAAGUAAGCACUAACCCAGAAAUAUUGCCGAAACAACGAUAACCAUAUUUUAAACAAGCAAUCAUUUAAUAAAUAUUCAAGUUGAAAACCAUGGCUACUGCAUGACUAUCAUGCAAAUGGGUAUUGUGGCUUGCCUGGGGGUGAAGAAGGCACCGGGACGAAAUGCGGUGAAGCCGCGGAAAGAUUGCCGGAAAUAGUUCUUUCUUGGAGGGGCUGUUUAAGUGCAAGGGAAAAAAGGUCAUUUUCACAGUUUUAAACCAUAAUGAAAAUGAAACCAACAGAACGGGCUCGAUGAAAUGAAGAUGUGGGCUUUGGAAUCACCUCAUUUGGAGUUGGGAGUAAAAAGAUAUAAGGGUUUUUCUGCCAGGGUCCUAUCUGUAUUAAAAUCAUCACAAACAGGCCCUCAGCGGGAAAAACAGAACGCGCACUCGAUGUAAUACGCUUUUGGUGAAAUGAAAGGGUACUCUGGCC
Molecule: long non-coding RNA, 8386 nt
Filed under: Triticum aestivum (bread wheat)
Lineage: Eukaryota; Viridiplantae; Streptophyta; Magnoliopsida; Poales; Poaceae
Description: long non-coding RNA (TAES_LNC025839)
Source: RNAcentral